This 489-nucleotide ribosomal RNA is filed under the name uncultured bacterium. RNAcentral's name for it is "bacterial SSU rRNA". It matches the Rfam family "Bacterial small subunit ribosomal RNA", at positions 20 to 507 of the family's 1533-position model. The record is from RNAcentral.
UGGCUCAGAUUGAACGCUGGCGGAAUGCUUUACACAUGUAAGUCGAACGGCAGCACGGGGCAACCUGGUGGCGAGUGGCGAACGGGUGAGUAAUGCAUCGGAACGUGCCAUUGAGUGGGGAUAACGUAGCGAAAGUUGCGCUAAUACCGCAUAUUCUGUGAGCAGGAAAGCAGGGGACCGCAAGGCCUUGCGCUCUUUGAGCGGCCGAUGUCAGAUUAGCUAGUUGGUGAGGUAACGGCUUACCAAGGCGACGAUCUGUAGCGGGUCUGAGAGGAUGAUCCGCCACACUAGAACUGAGACACGGUCCAGACUCCUACGGGAGGCAGCAGUGGGGAAUUUUGGACAAUGGGCGCAAGCCUGAUCCAGCCAUGCCGCGUGAGUGAAGAAGGCCUUCGGGUUGUAAAGCUCUUUCGGCCGGGAAGAAAUCGCAUGGGUUAAUACCCUGUGUGGAUGACGGUACCGGAAUAAGAAGCACCGGCUAACUACGUG